AACGAAUGAUGGCGGCAUGCCUAACACAUGCAAGUCGAACGAGACCUUCGGGUCUAGUGGCGCACGGGUGCGUAACGCGUGGGAACCUGCCCUUAGGUUCGGAAUAACUCCCCGAAAGGGGUGCUAAUACCGGAUAAUGUCUUCGGACCAAAGAUUUAUCGCCUUUGGAUGGGCCCGCGUUGGAUUAGCUAGUUGGUAGGGUAAAAGCCUACCAAGGCGACGAUCCAUAGCUGGUCUGAGAGGAUGAUCAGCCACACUGGGACUGAGACACGGCCCAGACUCCUACGGGAGGCAGCAGUGGGGAAUAUUGGACAAUGGGCGAAAGCCUGAUCCAGCAAUGCCGCGUGAGUGAUGAAGGCCUUAGGGUUGUAAAGCUCUUUUACCCGGGAUGAUAAUGACAGUACCGGGAGAAUAAGCUCCGGCUAACUCCGUG
Molecule: ribosomal RNA, 433 nt
Filed under: uncultured bacterium
Lineage: Bacteria
Description: partial 16S ribosomal RNA
Rfam family: Bacterial small subunit ribosomal RNA
Source: RNAcentral